GAUGAACGCUGGCGGCGUGCCUAAUACAUGCAAGUCGAGCGAACGGACGAGGAGCUUGCUUCUCUGAUGUUAGCGGCGGACGGGUGAGUAACACGUGGAUAACCUACCUAUAAGACUGGGAUAACUUCGGGAAACCGGAGCUAAUACCGGAUAAUAUUUUGAACCGCAUGGUUCAAAAGUGAAAGACGGUCUUGCUGUCACUUAUAGAUGGAUCCGCGCUGCAUUAGCUAAUUGGUAAGGUAACGGCUUACCAAGGCAACGAUGCAUAGCCGACCUGAGAGGGUGAUCGGCCACACUGGAACUGAGACACGGUCCAGACUCCUACGGGAGGCAGCAGUAGGGAAUCUUCCGCAAUGGGCGAAAGCCUGACGGAGCAACGCCGCGUGAGUGAUGAAGGUCUUCGGAUCGUAAAACUCUGUUAUUAGGGAAGAACAUAUGUGUAAGUAACUGUGCACAUCUUGACGGUACCUAAUCAGAAAGCCACGGCUAACUACGUG
RNAcentral lists this ribosomal RNA (497 nucleotides) under uncultured bacterium. RNAcentral's name for it is "partial 16S ribosomal RNA". It matches the Rfam family "Bacterial small subunit ribosomal RNA", at positions 28 to 507 of the family's 1533-position model. The record is from RNAcentral.